UGGGGAAUCUUCCGCAAUGGGCGAAAGCCUGACGGAGCAACGCCGCGUGAGGGAUGAAGGCCUCUGGGCUGUAAACCUCUUUUCUCAAGGAAGAAGAUCUGACGGUACUUGAGGAAUAAGCCACGGCUAAUUCCGUGCCAGCAGCCGCGGUAAUACGGGAGUGGCAAGCGUUAUCCGGAAUUAUUGGGCGUAAAGCGUCCGCAGGCGGCCUUUCAAGUCUGCUGUUAAAACGUGGAGCUUAACUCCAUCAUGGCAGUGGAAACUGUUGGGCUUGAGUGUGGUAGGGGCAGAGGGAAUUCCCGGUGUAGCGGUGAAAUGCGUAGAUAUCGGGAAGAACACCAGUGGCGAAGGCGCUCUGCUGGGCCAUAACUGACGCUCAUGGACGAAAGCCAGGGGAGCGAAAGGGAUUAGAUACCCCUGUAGU
Molecule: ribosomal RNA, 424 nt
Filed under: uncultured cyanobacterium
Lineage: Bacteria; Bacillati; Cyanobacteriota
Description: bacterial SSU rRNA
Rfam family: Bacterial small subunit ribosomal RNA
Source: RNAcentral